UAGGGAAUCUUCGGCAAUGGGGGGAACCCUGACCGAGCAACGCCGCGUGAGUGAAGAAGGUUUUCGGAUCGUAAAGCUCUGUUGUUAAGGAAGAACGAGUGUGAGAAUGGAAAGUUCAUACUGUGACGGUACUUAACCAGAAAGGGACGGCUAACUACGUGCCAGUAGCCGCGGUAAUACGUAGGUCCCGAGCGUUGUCCGGAUUUAUUGGGCGUAAAGCGAGCGCAGGCGGUUAGAUAAGUCUGAAGUUAAAGGCAGUGGCUCAACCAUUGUAGGCUUUGGAAACUGUUUAACUUGAGUGCAGAAGGGGAGAGUGUAAUUCCAUGUGUAGCGGUGAAAUGCGUAGAUAUAUGGAGGAACACCGGUGGCGAAAGCGGCUCUCUGGUCUGUAACUGACGCUGAGGCUCGAAAGCGUGGGGAGCGAACAGG
This 429-nucleotide ribosomal RNA is filed under the name Bacteroidota bacterium. RNAcentral describes it as "Bacteroidetes bacterium partial 16S ribosomal RNA". It matches the Rfam family "Bacterial small subunit ribosomal RNA", at positions 355 to 776 of the family's 1533-position model. Lineage: Bacteria; Pseudomonadati; Bacteroidota. The record is from RNAcentral.